AUGAAUUGAUCAGUAGCAGAAAUAAACCAAGCAUUAAUAGAGUUAGGAUGCCAUAAGACCCAUAUUCUACCAAAAGUUUCAUUUGAGUCAUUGGUAAACAGUUAUGUGUCCGGCCAUAUUAAAUUCUUUUGAGCUUGAACGCGCGAUUGUUUAAUUUUCGUUUCUACUAGAAUAACAAUAUCACAUGCGGCAGACUUGAUUAUUCUGUUGAGCUCCCGACAUUUCUCCGGCUUAUUAAGUCCGCGAACAUUCCAACAUGUUAUCUUCAUCAGUAAUAAAGAAAUGAAAAGGUGGUAAGGUAUUCAUCCUACGACUUUGGAUGGACUGUACCAUCCUUUUUCUUAUCCUUCGGUUUUGUAUUUUCCUCCCGCACAAUAUCCUUACCUUUUAUGGCUUUAUUCCUAUAUUUAUCCACUUCAUCUACAGCUUACAGAUUUUUAAACUUUAAAAUACCUUG
Molecule: long non-coding RNA, 457 nt
Filed under: Musa acuminata (dwarf banana)
Lineage: Eukaryota; Viridiplantae; Streptophyta; Magnoliopsida; Zingiberales; Musaceae
Description: long non-coding RNA (MACU_LNC011423)
Source: RNAcentral